RNAcentral lists this ribosomal RNA (365 nucleotides) under uncultured Bacteroidota bacterium. RNAcentral describes it as "bacterial SSU rRNA". It matches the Rfam family "Bacterial small subunit ribosomal RNA", at positions 527 to 896 of the family's 1533-position model. The record is from RNAcentral. Lineage: Bacteria; Pseudomonadati; Bacteroidota.
GGAGGAUCCAAGCGUUAUCCGGAAUCAUUGGGUUUAAAGGGUCCGUAGGCGGUUUAAUAAGUCAGUGGUGAAAGCCCAUCGCUCAACGGUGGAACGGCCAUUGAUACUGUUAGACUUGAAUUAUUAGGAAGUAACUAGAAUAUGUAGUGUAGCGGUGAAAUGCUUAGAGAUUACAUGGAAUACCAAUUGCGAAGGCAGGUUACUACUAAUGGAUUGACGCUGAUGGACGAAAGCGUGGGUAGCGAACAGGAUUAGAUACCCUGGUAGUCCACGCCGUAAACGAUGGAUACUAGCUGUUGGGAGUAAUCUCAGUGGCUAAGCGAAAGUGAUAAGUAUCCCACCUGGGGAGUACGUUCGCAAGAAUG